RNAcentral lists this ribosomal RNA (114 nucleotides) under Fidelibacterota bacterium. Lineage: Bacteria; Pseudomonadati; Fidelibacterota. The record is from RNAcentral.
UUUAGUGUCUAUGGCGAUUUGGCACACCUCUUACCAUUCCGAAUAGUGAAGUUAAGCGAACUUGCACAGAUGGUACUGCCCUUUUGAGAGUGAGAGAAUAUGUGGAUGCCACUU